RNAcentral lists this ribosomal RNA (619 nucleotides) under Agrococcus jenensis. RNAcentral describes it as "bacterial SSU rRNA". It matches the Rfam family "Bacterial small subunit ribosomal RNA", at positions 169 to 802 of the family's 1533-position model. Lineage: Bacteria; Bacillati; Actinomycetota; Actinomycetes; Micrococcales; Microbacteriaceae. The record is from RNAcentral.
CCGGAUACGACGAUCGGAGGCAUCUCCUGGUCGUGGAAAGAACUUCGGUCAAGGAUCAGCUCACGGCCUAUCAGCUAGUUGGUGAGGUAACGGCUCACCAAGGCGACGACGGGUAGCCGGCCUGAGAGGGUGACCGGCCACACUGGGACUGAGACACGGCCCAGACUCCUACGGGAGGCAGCAGUGGGGAAUAUUGCACAAUGGGCGCAAGCCUGAUGCAGCAACGCCGCGUGAGGGACGAAGGCCUUCGGGUUGUAAACCUCUUUUAGCAGGGAAGAAGCGAAAGUGACGGUACCUGCAGAAAAAGCACCGGCUAACUACGUGCCAGCAGCCGCGGUAAUACGUAGGGUGCAAGCGUUGUCCGGAAUUAUUGGGCGUAAAGAGCUCGUAGGCGGUUUGUCACGUCUGCUGUGAAAACCCGAGGCUCAACCUCGGGCUUGCAGUGGGUACGGGCAGACUAGAGUGCGGUAGGGGAGAUUGGAAUUCCUGGUGUAGCGGUGGAAUGCGCAGAUAUCAGGAGGAACACCGAUGGCGAAGGCAGAUCUCUGGGCCGUAACUGACGCUGAGGAGCGAAAGCAUGGGGAGCAAACAGGCUUAGAUACCCUGGUAGUCCAUGCCG